This 253-nucleotide ribosomal RNA is filed under the name uncultured bacterium. RNAcentral's name for it is "partial 16S ribosomal RNA". It matches the Rfam family "Bacterial small subunit ribosomal RNA", at positions 524 to 776 of the family's 1533-position model. The record is from RNAcentral.
UACGGGGGGGGCAAGCGUUGUUCGGAAUUACUGGGCGUAAAGGGCUCGUAGGCGGCCAACUAAGUCGGACGUGAAAUCCCUCGGCUCAACCUGGGAACGGCAUCCGAUACUGGAUGGCUUGAAUUCGGGAGAGGGAUGCAGAAUUCCAGGUGUAGCGGUGAAAUGCGUAGAUAUCGUGAGGAAGACCAGUGGCGAAGGCGGGUCUCUGGACAGUUCCUGACGCUGAGGCACGAAGGUCAGGGGAGCAAACGGG